UGUGCUUGACGCACUGUUGUCACUUAUGUGUAGUGACGAACAAAACCAACGAAUUAUUCAUUAGAGGGGCAUAUAUUUUAAAUGCGUUUGUUCAGCUAUACUCAACCAAACGAGUAUUUUUUGUUCAUUUGGGAGGAGUUCGGAGGUACAUAUUUGGCUAAGACUAUGCCAUAUCUUGGCCCUAGGGUGCAAGUACAGAAUCAAGUACAUUUACAACAAAAAAUGAUCUAUCCAAGGGUUGCAAAUAUUGUGUUGGACGUUCAAAACAAGGGUAUCCAAGAAUGAAAUUUAAAGUUCCUUCAGUUAAGCAGCAAAAAUAUAUUAAAUUUAUGGAGGAAAGCCAUCAUCGGAUCAAUGAUUUACCAGGUCAAUAGAGAUGUGAUGAGGAGGCAUCCAAAAAUGAGGAGGAAUUGAAUGAUAACACUGAAGAACCCAGUGAAGCUGCAGAAGGUGCACAACAAAAACUGAAAUGCACUGGCGAGUUUGGUGCAUUAACGGAUGUCGGAGAAGAUUUGCUGAGAAUGGCAUCGUGAAUCAGAAUGUUGGGGUGAGGGCCGAGGGAAGGAAAGCUAGGGAGGUGACAGAUGAAGAAGAUAUAACUCACCAACAAGUCCUCUUCAUGUUGGAUCCGAUGGUGAUGACGACUUUGUAUAAUGCUUCGUCUUUGUGGGUGGAAACUGGAGACUUAAGAACUCUAUAGGUUUUUCUUAGCUGCCAAUGAAGCUAUUACAUGAGAAGAUUGAAGAGGUUUUGCUAUUACCGGAAUUUGUGUACAGAUUAGGCCUUUUUGUUAACACUAUCAUAUAACAUAUGGUAACUGUCAUCUGGCUGCUGUUGCCAUGGUUCGUUUUUCUAAGAGCAAUCAUAUGCCAACACACGCUAACAAUCAACAAGAGUAAGGAUACCAGAGAAAUUAUUCUAAUAAGGAACUGACCUUGGAAGGAUCAACCUUGGGGAAGCUCUUGACGACAUCCAAAACUCUUUUCA
Macadamia integrifolia is the source of this 987-nucleotide long non-coding RNA. RefSeq lists it as uncharacterized. The record is from RefSeq and is a predicted model, not a curated record. The transcript has 4 exons. Lineage: Eukaryota; Viridiplantae; Streptophyta; Magnoliopsida; Proteales; Proteaceae.